GAUGAAGAACGUAGCGAAAUGCGAUAAGUAGUGUGAAUUGCAGAAUUCCGUGAAUCAUCGAAUCUUUGAACGCACAUUGCGCCUUCUGGUAUUCCGGAAGGCAUGCCUGUUCGAGAGUCAUUAACAACCGUUUCGAUCCCUUUCUUUCAGAAAUUACAAAGAGGAAAAGGGUUUGGUUAUGGUGGAGGAGGGAAAGGGAGCGUUUAGCCUGUAAAAAAAGAGGCUGUGUUCCGCCUCCCCCCCAAAAUUGUACAGGCGGUCGUGUGCGCCCACGCAUCGAGGUGUUGUAAAAGCUGCCACGGCACUUUUCACCUGUGCAGUGCGAGAUUGGCCAGCCGGUUUAAAAACCCCUCCAAACAAUCAACGGUUGACCUCGGAUCAGGUAGGGAUACCCGCUGAACUUAAGCAUAUCAAUAAGCGGAGGA
This 425-nucleotide unclassified non-coding RNA is filed under the name soil metagenome. Its description in RNAcentral is "partial contains 5.8S ribosomal RNA, internal transcribed spacer 2, and large subunit ribosomal RNA". The stretch from base 1 to 120 matches the Rfam family "5.8S ribosomal RNA", at positions 35 to 154 of the family's 154-position model. The record is from RNAcentral.